UUGUUUUUUUUUGUUUUGGACGUAAAUGACAGUAUUCAGAGUAUAAUCUUCGGCAGGUGCUGGCCCGCUCGAAAGCCGACGUUCGCCUGCCGAAGCAACUUGACGUUUAAGCAAGGGUGAGGAGUGCUUCGGUUUACCCAAAACAUCUCGGUAAUGAUCCUUCCGCAGGUUCACCUACGGAAA
This 183-nucleotide unclassified non-coding RNA is filed under the name uncultured fungus. RNAcentral's name for it is "sequence contains ITS1". The record is from RNAcentral. Lineage: Eukaryota; Fungi.